UGAGGAAUAUUGGUCAAUGGACGAGAGUCUGAACCAGCCAAAUCGCGUGAAGGAAGACUGCCCUACGGGUUGUAAACUUCUUUUGUACAGGAAUAAAAGACAUUACGUGUAAUGUAUUGCAUGUACUGUACGAAUAAGCAUCGGCUAACUCCGUGCCAGCAGCCGCGGUAAUACGGAGGAUGCGAGCGUUAUCCGGAUUUAUUGGGUUUAAAGGGUGCGUAGGCGGCGAUAUAAGUCAGUGGUGAAAUAUUUCGGCUUAACCGAGAGACUGCCAUUGAUACUGUGUUGCUAGAAUAUGGUUGCUGUGAGUGGAAUGUGUGGUGUAGCGGUGAAAUGCUUAGAUAUCACACAGAAUAUCGAUUGCGAAGGCAGCUCACAAAGCCAUUAUUGACGCUGAGGCACGAAAGUGUGGGGAUCAAACA
This 422-nucleotide ribosomal RNA is filed under the name uncultured bacterium. RNAcentral's name for it is "bacterial SSU rRNA". It matches the Rfam family "Bacterial small subunit ribosomal RNA", at positions 355 to 774 of the family's 1533-position model. The record is from RNAcentral.